UACGUAGGGUGCGAGCGUUAAUCGGAAUUACUGGGCGUAAAGUGUGCGCAGGCGGCCGCGCAAGUCGAGUGUGAAAUCCCCGAGCUUAACUUGGGAAUUGCGCUCGAAACUACGUGGCUGGAGUGUGGCAGAGGAAGGUGGAAUUCCACGUGUAGCGGUGAAAUGCGUAGAGAUGUGGAGGAACACCGAUGGCGAAGGCAGCCUUCUGGGCCAAUACUGACGCUCAUGCACGAAAGCGUGGGGAGCAAACAGG
RNAcentral lists this ribosomal RNA (253 nucleotides) under uncultured bacterium. Its description in RNAcentral is "partial 16S ribosomal RNA". It matches the Rfam family "Bacterial small subunit ribosomal RNA", at positions 524 to 776 of the family's 1533-position model. The record is from RNAcentral.